Molecule: non-coding RNA, 65 nt
Filed under: unclassified sequences
Description: S15-Flavobacteria ribosomal protein leader
Rfam family: S15-Flavobacteria ribosomal protein leader
Source: RNAcentral
UAUAUUUGCCGCUCGAAAGAAGCACUUUCGUAUACAUAAAAAUCAUUAAAAAUAAUAUUCGAAUG